UACGUAGGGUGCAAGCGUUGUCCGGAAUUAUUGGGCGUAAAGAGCUUGUAGGCGGUUUGUCGCGUCUGCUGUGAAAUUUCGGGGCUCAACCCCGAACUUGCAGUGGGUACGGGCAGACUAGGGUGUGGUAGGGGAGACUGGAAUUCCUGGUGUAGCGGUGAAAUGCGCAGAUAUCAGGAGGAACACCGAUGGCGAAGGCAGGUCUCUGGGCCAUAACUGACGCUGAGAAGCGAAAGCAUGGGGAGCGAACAGG
RNAcentral lists this ribosomal RNA (253 nucleotides) under uncultured bacterium. Its description in RNAcentral is "partial 16S ribosomal RNA". It matches the Rfam family "Bacterial small subunit ribosomal RNA", at positions 524 to 776 of the family's 1533-position model. The record is from RNAcentral.